AAGAAUAUAACUGUGCAGUAUGUGAGGCAAUUUUAGUUGCGGCAAAUCAAUCAAUACCAAAGAAGAGAGGAGGAAAGAGAAAGAAAAUAGUGCUAUGGUGGACUAAAGAAUGUGAAAAUGUAAUUAAAUCCUGGAAUAAAGCAUUUAAAAUAUUAAAAAGAACACAUAACUUCCAGAACCUUUUGAAUCUAAAAAGUUACAGGUGAAGGAGAGAAGAACAAUUAAAAAUACAAAGAAGCUUUUUUGGAGGAAGUUUUGUUGUUCAGUAGGGAGAGAUACAGAAACUGAGAAAGUAUCGGGAAUGAUAAAAAGAAUGAAUGGAAUGAAAAGGGAAUUUGGAUAUCCGGUACUAAAGGUUAAUGAGAAGAAUGCGGCAACAGAGGAAGAUAAAGCAGAAGUACUGGCCAAGACUUUUGUUAAUGUACAUAGCAUCAGUAAUAUCAGUGAAGAUGUGGUGAGACGCCUCCUCAUCUUGUUUUAUUUUGGCUGGACUUCCUUUGUUUCCCUGUUUGCCUGGUUUGGCUUUACUCUUUUCCAGGGCUUCCUCCCCUCCCCCGGCGCUGAGACUGACUGAGACUACAAACCUGCUCCACAGCUCCAAUCAAGGCACUUUAAGAAGCCUGCAGCCCUCAGUCUCAGCGCCUGAGUAUUGUCUACCCUCCUAGCGGUAACAACGCGUCUCCUGGCCAACCUCGUUUGUAUAAUCAUCAAAACUUUGCUCCUCGUGAUUCUGUGCAUGUACAAUAACUUCCAUCUCCUCUGGUUUUUCCUGCAGUGUCUACAGCCCACACGACAGCCAGCCUACCGGACAUCCUCUGUUGCAUUAUCUACCCCUUCUGUUUGGACAUUAAAAUUCUCUUUAAGUGGUCUCAGUCUCAUAAGCUACGUUUACAUGGAGCCAAAUAUUCCGAAUAUAAUCGGAUUAGAAGCCCAAUCGGAAUGAAAAUGCUCCAUAUAAACACCUCAUUCGGAAUAAACAGGCCCAUUCCGAAUGGAAUUUUAUUCCGAUUCACAGGGGUAGAAUAUUCCUUUUCCCAUUCCGAUUAAAAGCAAAAUCCUGUCAUGUAAACGGUGAAUCGGAAA
This 1083-nucleotide long non-coding RNA is filed under the name Xyrichtys novacula (pearly razorfish). The record is from RNAcentral. Lineage: Eukaryota; Metazoa; Chordata; Actinopteri; Labriformes; Labridae.